Molecule: long non-coding RNA, 946 nt
Organism: Myotis davidii
Lineage: Eukaryota; Metazoa; Chordata; Mammalia; Chiroptera; Vespertilionidae
Exons: 2
Source: RefSeq, a predicted model, not a curated record
GGCCCGCUGAGGAGGAAAGGCGGCGCGGGCGCCGCCCCCACCGCCUCGGGGUUGGGGCCUAGGAGGGUGGGGACCGCAGGGUCGUACCACGAGGUUUUUAACUAAUACCUGGAGGGAGUAACUUUAGCUGGAGAAACCCCACAAAAACCUUCCUCUCGGUGAGGAACCGGCCCCUGAAGCCUGAGAGACCUUAAAAUAAACCUGUUCCCAGCUGCCGAUGGCACCCCACCCCCACCGGCGAGGAAACGCCGGAGAGGGUCCCAGAGCCCCCAGGGAGACUUCCUGGGGGCGCUGCCUCCGAAAGACGCCCCUCCCCAGGUCAUCCUCCUGUUAGCAGACAGCAAAAGAAAACGUGCCCAGGGAACAAGAACAGAAACACCCACCGAAAUUUGGUUCCCUGCAAGAAAUAGUCAUUGCUGGGAGGAGAAUCUACACUUUUUUUUUUUAGAAUCUACAAUUUUUUUAGGAUAGUCACUAUCCACGCCCCCCCCUCCCGUAAUCUGUGGCCUUUGUUUCCAAUGAAGUCACCCCUCACACAUCUACACAAAAUUUUUCAUGACUUUCAAGGAGUCCGGAGAAUCUAUUAGGUCCAUGAAGUCUAUGGACUCCAAACGGAAAUGUCCUGCCCUGCCCGGUAGCUCAGUUGGUCGGAGCGUCGUCCCGCUGAGCCGGGUGGUGGCAGGUUCCACUCGGUGAGCACAUGCCGGAGCCUGCUGGUGUGUGCACGGAUCGGUGGAACCGCCGACCUCUCCCUCUCCCCGCCCUCAUUCCCUCCCCUCCCCCCGCCCUCUCCCCGCCUUCCUCUCUCUCUAAAAUCAAUUAAAAAAAGAAAAUGUCCUUACCUGAGGAAGAAAGGAAAUUAAUGCUACUUGAAUACCUGCUCUGUGUUAGGUUUUGUUACGUGUUUUCAAAGCCUUAAUAAAGGCUUUCAGCAUCUUCAAAAUAA